This 469-nucleotide ribosomal RNA is filed under the name uncultured bacterium. RNAcentral describes it as "partial 16S ribosomal RNA". It matches the Rfam family "Bacterial small subunit ribosomal RNA", at positions 28 to 508 of the family's 1533-position model. The record is from RNAcentral.
GACGAACGCUGGUGGCGUGCUUAACACAUGCAAGUCGAACGGAAAGGCCCUGCUUUUGUGGGGUGCUCGAGUGGCGAACGGGUGAGUAACACGUGAGUAACCUGCCCUUGACUUUGGGAUAACUUCAGGAAACUGGGGCUAAUACCGGAUAGGAGCUCCUGCUGCAUGGUGGGGGUUGGAAAGUUUCGGCGGUUGGGGAUGGACUCGCGGCUUAUCAGCUUGUUGGUGGGGUAGUGGCUUACCAAGGCUUUGACGGGUAGCCGGCCUGAGAGGGUGACCGGGCAAAUUGGGACUGAGAUACGGCCCAGACUCCUACGGGAGGCAGCAGUGGGGAAGAAUGCACAAUGGGCGGAAGCCUGAUGCAGCAAAGCCGCGUGCGGGAUGACGGGCUUCGGGGUGGAAAACGCUUUCGCCUGUGACGAAGCGUGAGGGAAGGUAAUGGGUAAAGAAGCACCGGCUAAAUACGUGC